CUGGCGGCGUGCCUAAUACAUGCAAGUCGAACGAACUGUGGAAAGCUUGCUUUCAGAGUUAGUGGCGAACGGGUGAGUAACACGUAAGUAACCUAGCUAUUAGACGAGGAUAACUACUGGAAACGGUAGCUAAGACUGGAUAUGAUAGAAAUAUUUAAAGGAUGCUAAGGCAUCGCUAAUAGAGGGGCUUGCGGCGCAUUAGCUAGUUGGUAGGGUAAAGCCAACCCAGGCGAUGAUGCGUAGCCGACCUGAGAGGGUGACCGGCCACACUGGGACUGAGACACGGCCCAGACUCCUACGGGAGGCAGCAGUAGGGAAUCUUCGGCAAUGGACGAAAGUCUGACCGAGCAACGCCGCGUGAAGUGAAGAAAGUUUUCGGAUUGUAAAGCUCUGUUAUUAGGGAAGAAAGGCUCUAGGAGGAAAUGCUUAGGGAUUGACGGUACCUAAUGAGGAAGCCACGGCUAACUACGUGCCAGCAGCUGC
This 483-nucleotide ribosomal RNA is filed under the name uncultured bacterium. RNAcentral describes it as "bacterial SSU rRNA". It matches the Rfam family "Bacterial small subunit ribosomal RNA", at positions 36 to 518 of the family's 1533-position model. The record is from RNAcentral.